RNAcentral lists this ribosomal RNA (2902 nucleotides) under Klebsiella pneumoniae. RNAcentral's name for it is "23S ribosomal RNA". It matches the Rfam family "Bacterial large subunit ribosomal RNA". The record is from RNAcentral. Lineage: Bacteria; Pseudomonadati; Pseudomonadota; Gammaproteobacteria; Enterobacterales; Enterobacteriaceae.
GGUUAAGCGACUAAGCGUACACGGUGGAUGCCCUGGCAGUCAGAGGCGAUGAAGGACGUGCUAAUCUGCGAAAAGCGUCGGUAAGGUGAUAUGAACCGUUAUAACCGGCGAUGUCCGAAUGGGGAAACCCAGUGUGAUUCGUCACACUAUCGUUAACUGAAUACAUAGGUUAACGAGGCGAACCGGGGGAACUGAAACAUCUAAGUACCCCGAGGAAAAGAAAUCAACCGAGAUUCCCCCAGUAGCGGCGAGCGAACGGGGAGCAGCCCAGAGUCUGAAUCAGCUUGUGUGUUAGUGGAACGGUCUGGAAAGUCCGACGGUACAGGGUGAUAGUCCCGUACACCAAAAUGCACAGGUUGUGAACUCGAAGAGUAGGGCGGGACACGUGGUAUCCUGUCUGAAUAUGGGGGGACCAUCCUCCAAGGCUAAAUACUCCUGACUGACCGAUAGUGAACCAGUACCGUGAGGGAAAGGCGAAAAGAACCCCGGCGAGGGGAGUGAAAAAGAACCUGAAACCGUGUACGUACAAGCAGUGGGAGCACCUUCGGGUGUGACUGCGUACCUUUUGUAUAAUGGGUCAGCGACUUAUAUUCUGUAGCAAGGUUAACCGUAUAGGGGAGCCGCAGGGAAACCGAGUCUUAACUGGGCGUUAAGUUGCAGGGUAUAGACCCGAAACCCGGUGAUCUAGCCAUGGGCAGGUUGAAGGUUGGGUAACACUAACUGGAGGACCGAACCGACUAAUGUUGAAAAAUUAGCGGAUGACUUGUGGCUGGGGGUGAAAGGCCAAUCAAACCGGGAGAUAGCUGGUUCUCCCCGAAAGCUAUUUAGGUAGCGCCUCGUGAAUUCAUCUUCGGGGGUAGAGCACUGUUUCGGCUAGGGGGUCAUCCCGACUUACCAACCCGAUGCAAACUACGAAUACCGAAGAAUGUUAUCACGGGAGACACACGGCGGGUGCUAACGUCCGUCGUGAAGAGGGAAACAACCCAGACCGCCAGCUAAGGUCCCAAAGUCAUGGUUAAGUGGGAAACGAUGUGGGAAGGCACAGACAGCCAGGAUGUUGGCUUAGAAGCAGCCAUCAUUUAAAGAAAGCGUAAUAGCUCACUGGUCGAGUCGGCCUGCGCGGAAGAUGUAACGGGGCUAAACCAUGCACCGAAGCUGCGGCAGCGACACUAUGUGUUGUUGGGUAGGGGAGCGUUCUGUAAGCCUGCGAAGGUGACCUGUGAGGGUUGCUGGAGGUAUCAGAAGUGCGAAUGCUGACAUAAGUAACGAUAAAGCGGGUGAAAAGCCCGCUCGCCGGAAGACCAAGGGUUCCUGUCCAACGUUAAUCGGGGCAGGGUGAGUCGACCCCUAAGGCGAGGCCGAAAGGCGUAGUCGAUGGGAAACAGGUUAAUAUUCCUGUACUUGGUGUUACUGCGAAGGGGGGACGGAGAAGGCUAUGUUAGCCGGGCGACGGUUGUCCCGGUUUAAGCAUGUAGGCUGGUUGUCCAGGCAAAUCCGGAUAAUCAAGGCUGAGGUGUGAUGACGAGGUACUACGGUGCUGAAGUAACAAAUGCCCUGCUUCCAGGAAAAGCCUCUAAGCAUCAGGUAACAUUAAAUCGUACCCCAAACCGACACAGGUGGUCAGGUAGAGAAUACCAAGGCGCUUGAGAGAACUCGGGUGAAGGAACUAGGCAAAAUGGUGCCGUAACUUCGGGAGAAGGCACGCUGGUGUGUAGGUGAAGUCCCUGCGGAUGGAGCUGAGACCAGUCGAAGAUACCAGCUGGCUGCAACUGUUUAUUAAAAACACAGCACUGUGCAAACACGAAAGUGGACGUAUACGGUGUGACGCCUGCCCGGUGCCGGAAGGUUAAUUGAUGGGGUUAUCCGUAAGGAGAAGCUCUUGAUCGAAGCCCCGGUAAACGGCGGCCGUAACUAUAACGGUCCUAAGGUAGCGAAAUUCCUUGUCGGGUAAGUUCCGACCUGCACGAAUGGCGUAAUGAUGGCCAGGCUGUCUCCACCCGAGACUCAGUGAAAUUGAACUCGCUGUGAAGAUGCAGUGUACCCGCGGCAAGACGGAAAGACCCCGUGAACCUUUACUAUAGCUUGACACUGAACAUUGAGCCUUGAUGUGUAGGAUAGGUGGGAGGCUUUGAAGCGUGGACGCCAGUCUGCGUGGAGCCAACCUUGAAAUACCACCCUUUAAUGUUUGAUGUUCUAACGUUGGCCCCUUACCGGGGUUGCGGACAGUGUCUGGUGGGUAGUUUGACUGGGGCGGUCUCCUCCCAAAGCGUAACGGAGGAGCACGAAGGUUAGCUAAUCCUGGUCGGACAUCAGGAGGUUAGUGCAAUGGCAUAAGCUAGCUUGACUGCGAGCGUGACGGCGCGAGCAGGUGCGAAAGCAGGUCAUAGUGAUCCGGUGGUUCUGAAUGGAAGGGCCAUCGCUCAACGGAUAAAAGGUACUCCGGGGAUAACAGGCUGAUACCGCCCAAGAGUUCAUAUCGACGGCGGUGUUUGGCACCUCGAUGUCGGCUCAUCACAUCCUGGGGCUGAAGUAGGUCCCAAGGGUAUGGCUGUUCGCCAUUUAAAGUGGUACGCGAGCUGGGUUUAGAACGUCGUGAGACAGUUCGGUCCCUAUCUGCCGUGGGCGCUGGAGAAUUGAGGGGGGCUGCUCCUAGUACGAGAGGACCGGAGUGGACGCAUCACUGGUGUUCGGGUUGUCAUGCCAAUGGCACUGCCCGGUAGCUAAAUGCGGAAGAGAUAAGUGCUGAAAGCAUCUAAGCACGAAACUUGCCCCGAGAUGAGUUCUCCCUGAGACUUUAAGUCUCCUGAAGGAACGUUGAAGACGACGACGUUGAUAGGCCGGGUGUGUAAGCGCAGCGAUGCGUUGAGCUAACCGGUACUAAUGAACCGUGAGGCUUAACCUU